This 314-nucleotide long non-coding RNA is filed under the name Manihot esculenta (cassava). RNAcentral describes it as "long non-coding RNA (MESC_LNC011313)". Lineage: Eukaryota; Viridiplantae; Streptophyta; Magnoliopsida; Malpighiales; Euphorbiaceae. The record is from RNAcentral.
UCCGUAAUUGCUUAGGUUGUUCAAAUACACAUUUAAUCAAGUUUCAUAAUCUAAACUUGACCACGCGGUUGGCAAGGAUAGAAUUGGGUUUCUCUAAGUCUUAAUGCAGUCAACAGUUGUUCGAUGCUACAAUGCCCCAAGGACGUUCCUUGGCAACUUGUUGAUUAGUGUUUGAUUAGCGAACGUUUCCUAAUCAAACUAGAACUAAGGAGGAAUUUGGAUUGUGAGAAGCGUCUUCCACAACCAAAACUGAUUUAUUGAAAUCAAAUAGGAGUCUUUAAUAAUCAAUGAUCAAUUCUGAACAAACUGAAUUA